RNAcentral lists this ribosomal RNA (443 nucleotides) under uncultured bacterium. RNAcentral describes it as "partial 16S ribosomal RNA". It matches the Rfam family "Bacterial small subunit ribosomal RNA", at positions 338 to 795 of the family's 1533-position model. The record is from RNAcentral.
CCUACGGGUGGCAGCAGUGGGGAAUAUUGGGCAAUGGAGGCAACUCUGACCCAGCAACGCCGCGUGAAUGAAGAAGGCCUUCGGGUUGUAAACUUAUUUUGUAAAGGAAGAAGAGAGUGACGGUACUUUACAAGUAAGCCUCGGCUAACUAUGUGCCAGCAGCCGCGGUAAGACAUAGGGGGCAAGCGUUAUUCGGAAUUACUGGGCGUAAAGGGAGCGUAGGCGGGAUGUUAAGUUAAGAGCGUAACCCCUGGGCUCAACCUAAGAAAUGCUCUCAAUACUGGUGUUCUUGAGUGUAGGAGAGGUAAAUGGAAUUCCUAGUGUAGCGGUAGAAUGCGUAGAGAUUAGGAGGAACACCAGAGGCGAAGGCGACUUACUGGACUGUAACUGACGCUGAGGCACGAAAGCGUGGGGAGCAAACAGGAUUAGAUACCCGUGUAGUC